Long non-coding RNA from Artibeus jamaicensis (Jamaican fruit-eating bat), 2046 nucleotides. RefSeq lists it as uncharacterized. Lineage: Eukaryota; Metazoa; Chordata; Mammalia; Chiroptera; Phyllostomidae. The record is from RefSeq and is a predicted model, not a curated record. The transcript is spliced from 3 exons.
GGAAACAGGACUGGCGCUUGGAAAUGAGCUUUGCCGUGGGGUGACAAGGCCACCCUUUUCCAGCCAGCAGUUCCGUAUUGCAGCUGAACACUGUCUCCCAGGAAGAAGCAUUUGUCUUCCUCGGAUGGGGUGAGGCUGGGACACACCUGGCGAACAGCACUGUGGGGACAGACAGAUGGAAGACUGUGGCUCGGUCUGACAGAUUGCUUCAUUUCUUCAAGCAACGGGAAAGGAAAGAUGGAGAAAUUAAAACUCCGGUUCUGGCAGCACCGGAAAACCCAAGUGUUGAACACAAAACAGGAGGCAGCGUGGCUCCUGGCAGCGUUCGAGGUCCAUGAAAAACACCUGCUCUGCUGGCAGCCGGGAAAGAAGGGCCCAGAAUAGUAGCGGCACUCCCACUCGCAAAAACACAGGAACUCCCCUGCACUGUCGUCAAGAGGGGACUGUCAGGAGGGAGCCUGGAGAAGCUGACUUGAGAAACGCACCCGAUCCCAUUAAAAGGACUCAAAUUGAAUUUCCCCUACAAUAGGAAGAGAGUGAAAUCCAAAGCCUCUCCUUCUCAGACUGAGUGAGGCCCACUCAGGGCCCGAAGGUGGCUAUGACCGGCUUGCAGGAAGUGGACAAGUGCACAAGUGACUCUAAGACUAGCCAGCCGUGGAGCGUGGGGCCAGGAGGCCACUGAGGGAGGCUCUCUUUGCUACACAGCGUCAUUUGCAGUGGGCAAGAUAUGGACACAACCUAAGGGCCCAUCGAUGGAUGAAUGGGUGAAGAAGAUCUGCCACACACACACACAGACACAUUAUGCAGCCAUAAAACAGAAUCUUGCCAUUCGCUACAACAUGGAUGGACCUAGAGGGCACUGUGCUGAUGAAAUACAUCUGAACAUCAGGCAGAGAAAGGCAAAUACCUUAUGAUCUCACUUUCGGUGGAAUCAGAAACAAACAAACAAAAACCCCAAGCUCAUGGAUGGAGCUCAACUGUGGUUGACAGCGGUGGGGGCUGGAGGUGGGUGAAAUGGGUGAAGGCGGUCAAAAGGUGCCAACUUCCAAUUAUAAGGUAAAUAAUUCUAAUAUCUUAUAAGCAUCAAAGGGGGAUGUCAUGUACAGCAUGGCGACGAUAGUACUGCAUAUUUGAACAUUGCUGAGAGAGUAGAGCUUAAAAGUCCUCAUCACAAGAAAAAGUAAUUUGUAAUAACAUGUGGUGAUGGAUGUUAUCAGAUUUAUCAUGAUCCUUUUGCAAUUUUGUAUAGAUCCAAUCAUUAUGUUGUACAUGCAAAACUAAUAUAAUGUUAUAUGUUCAUUAUACCUCAAUUAAAAACAUUUUUUUAGCCCUGGCUGGUGUGGCUCAGUGGACUGAGCACCAGCCUGCAAACCAAAAGGUCACCAUUUCAAUUCCCAGUCAGGGCCCUGGGGGCCCUGUCCCCAGUUGGGGGUGCAUGAAAGGCAACCAAUCGGUGUUUCUCUUCCUCUCUUUCUCCCUUCCCCUCUCUCUAAAAAAAAAUUAAUUAAAUCUCUUAAAGCAAUGUUUUUCAGACCAAAGGGAGAAAAGGAAAAACAAAACAAAACAACAACAACAAAAAAAGACCAAAGAGUUGCUGCAAAAACCUACAGUAUGGUUCAGAACGUGGGCUUUGCAUCUCACAUAACGGACUGUAUCAGCCUUGGGCUGGGAUAGCGCACCAGCCAGUCUGAUUGCAAGAUCAAAGAAAAAGGAAGAGGAGGUUUUCUCCCUGAAGCUGUUAAAGGAGAAUAGUUGCUCCCUCAUUUUUGGGUUGUUUACAUGUCUUCUAUUGAUGUGAAAACAAUUUGGUUCUGUUCAAGUGUUCUUUUAAACAUUCACAGAGGGUGAAAUAUUUGCUUUCUUUAAGAAUUAAAAGCUUCCCUGGCUGGUGUAGCUCAGCAGAUUGAGUGUUGGCCUGUGAACCAAAGGGUCUCUAGUUCAAUCCCAGUCUAGGACACAUGCCUGGGUUGCAGGCCUGGUCCCCAGUUGGGAGCCUGUGAGAGGCAACCACAUGCUGAUGUUUCUCUCGCUCUCUUUCUCCCUCCU